UUCCGGUGUAUGGCACUUAGAAAGCCAC
This 28-nucleotide non-coding RNA is filed under the name Rattus norvegicus (Norway rat). The record is from RNAcentral. Lineage: Eukaryota; Metazoa; Chordata; Mammalia; Rodentia; Muridae.